RNAcentral lists this transfer RNA (87 nucleotides) under Yersinia enterocolitica (type O:9) str. YE212/02. RNAcentral also lists the same sequence under 2 other names. The record is from RNAcentral. Lineage: Bacteria; Pseudomonadati; Pseudomonadota; Gammaproteobacteria; Enterobacterales; Yersiniaceae.
UAAAAAACCCCGCAUUGCGGGGUUUUUUUAUAGUGAAAUUAAGAAAAUAGAAUCAAAUCACAUUUUCUUAAUUUCACUAUUUCUGCC